AUUUGAUGCAGCUUGAAAAGUAACCAAAAAUUAUCUCCUUGCAGCACAGGGAGGACACGAGUGCCUUGCAGACACCUCCCGCAGCACGUCAGCCAGCACCAGAUCAAUCCCAUCCCUAAUUGCCUGCAGCCCCUGCCCUGAGCUGGGACACCAUGGCAGGUGUGGGAAGGGGCUGGUGCCCACACUGGCAGCUGUAGACGAGGGAUGACGCAUUAGAACGCUGCCACAGAGCCCUGCAGGGAUGUGUAGGUGUGGAAGAGUCAGCAGGCUGUUGCUGAGAUGCGGGACCCUACCAAUGGAGCAGAGACAGCUGAGAAGGUGGAGGGAAGGAGAGGGAAGCAGGAGAAGAAAACUUCCAAGUGCCUUUUUGAAUUCUAAGUUUUCUUGGACUUGCUCAGCUCUAAUCUUUAAUUCAUAAUUUCAUUACAGUCUCUUUGCUCUGUAAAGUCUGCAUUUCAUGUAAAAGGAGCAGCUCAAACAUCAAUUAUUUGACAUAAGUCAACCCCUUGUUAAAGUCCCCUACUCUACAUAUAUGUUGGCUCCAAUAAAAGAAGCAUUAAACAUUCAUUAAAUUAGAAAUACAUGAAGACAGUGUCAUGCCUCUCUUCUCAUACAGAUAUGCCUAAUAAGCCCAACCUUCCAGAGCAGUGAAAGCAAAACCAUCUCUAAUCCUUUUAGAAAGCCUGACCAUGCAAAGCACCCCAGUCUUCUGCAAUUUGCCUGUGAGUCACCCAGAGAAAUUAGCUACUGCAGGUCAGAUCCUCAGCAGGAGUAAAUGUGAGUCAGCCCCUCUGCCGGGGUUACACCGAAUACCACAGACCCGGGAUUUGGCUGUGGGGUUCUCUUGCAGCAAAAUGGUUUACAGCAAUGUAAUUGGAUAAAAAUGUCAUUUUUAGUCUUCUGCUUUAAACCCAGAAUUCAAUUGGGUGGGGAAUUGCAGUAACCACACCUGCUUGGAUUUCAGUACUGUCCAGUCUGCUUGUGCUCUGCAGCAGGCUCCCAACCUCAGCCUAGGACCUUCUCCAAAAAUAACCCAACCAACCCACCCCCUCCUCUACAAAACACCACCAUGACGAUAGUGGAUCUUGAACCACUGCCACUGUAGACUUGUGCACACAAAUUUCAGCAACGUUUUUGCAAGGGGUCACCCCUGGUAAGCAGAUACUUCUUCACAACCAUCUCCAUUUGAAGAACAACGCAUGCCACGUAUAACAUAUUUCCCACACCUCUGUGAUCUGGGUCUGUUUCACAAGAGCUUUGGAGCAAGUCCCAUCCAGCAAACAGCUUCUCACCAUCCUGCCAUUUAGGAU
This 1310-nucleotide long non-coding RNA is filed under the name Gallus gallus (chicken). RNAcentral's name for it is "long non-coding RNA NONGGAT008377". The record is from RNAcentral. Lineage: Eukaryota; Metazoa; Chordata; Aves; Galliformes; Phasianidae.